CGCAGUGUGAUGAUAUCUGCAGAUCGCCUACGGCUCAGUACACGUGACAAUCUGCCUGAGAGAGAUAAUCCCGGGAAACUGGGGGUAAUGCUCUAUAGUCCGGGGAAACUGGAAUGUUUCCCGGACGAAAGAUCCGUCGCUUCAGGAUGAGUCUGCGGCCGAUUAGGUAGUUGUUGGGGUAAAAGCCCAACAAGCCCGUAAUCGGUACGGGUUGUGGGAGCAAGAGCCCGGAGAUGGAUUCUGAGACACGAAUCCAGGCCCUACGGGGCGCAGCAGGCGCGAAAACUUUACAAUGCGGGCAACCGUGAUAAGGAAACCCCGAGUGCCAGCACAGGCUGGCUGUCCGCCAGUGUAAACAACUGGCGAAGAAAGGGCCGGGCAAGACCGGUGCCAGCCGCCGCGGUAAUACCGGCGGCUCGAGUGGUGGCCGCUUUUACUGGGCUUAAAGGGUCCGUAGCUGGAUUCACAAGUCCCUUGAGAAAUCCAUCGGCUUAACUGAUGAGCGUUCAGGGGAUACUGUGGUUCUAGGGACCGGGAGAGGUGAGAGGUACUGCCGGGGUAGGAGUGAAAUCCUGUAAUCCCGGUGGGACGACCUAUGGCGAAGGCAUCUCACCAGAACGGCUCCGACAGUGAGGGACGAAAGCUGGGGGAGCAAACCGGAUUAGAUACCCGGGUAGUCCCAGCUGUAAACGAUGCGCGUUAGGUGUGUCAGUGACCACGUGUCACUGAGGUGCCGAAGGGAAACCG
Molecule: ribosomal RNA, 747 nt
Filed under: uncultured Methanospirillaceae archaeon
Lineage: Archaea; Methanobacteriati; Methanobacteriota; Methanomicrobia; Methanomicrobiales; Methanospirillaceae
Description: bacterial SSU rRNA
Rfam family: Archaeal small subunit ribosomal RNA
Source: RNAcentral